Long non-coding RNA from Passer domesticus (house sparrow), 178 nucleotides. RefSeq lists it as uncharacterized. The record is from RefSeq and is a predicted model, not a curated record. Lineage: Eukaryota; Metazoa; Chordata; Aves; Passeriformes; Passeridae. The transcript has 3 exons.
GCUGCGGGAUGUCUGCAAAGCUCUCCGCAGCUGCAAUCCCAGGAGUCCCAGGAGAUGAGGCCAAGAUCCAGCAGCAGAAGCAAGGAGGAGAACUCUGAACAUGCAGGCCUCCCACUGAGCCAGGCCAAGGAGAUGGAUCAUCACACCAAUCCUGGUCUUACGAGUGACACAGACCUGA